GGAAAAUUAGUUUAUAUAAAAACCUUUAUUUGUCAAAUAAAAAUUACCUCUCGAGUAUUUUCA
RNAcentral lists this transfer RNA (63 nucleotides) under Xenophyes cascus. RNAcentral's name for it is "tRNA-Asp". The record is from RNAcentral. Lineage: Eukaryota; Metazoa; Arthropoda; Insecta; Hemiptera; Peloridiidae.